UAGGGAAUCUUCCACAAUGGACGAAAGUCUGAUGGAGCAACGCCGCGUGAGUGAAGAAGGAUUUCGGUUCGUAAAACUCUGUUGUAAGGGAAGAACAAGUACAGUAGUAACUGGCUGUACCUUGACGGUACCUUAUUAGAAAGCCACGGCUAACUACGUGCCAGCAGCCGCGGUAAUACGUAGGUGGCAAGCGUUGUCCGGAAUUAUUGGGCGUAAAGCGCGCGCAGGCGGUCCUUUAAGUCUGAUGUGAAAGCCCACGGCUCAACCGUGGAGGGUCAUUGGAAACUGGGGGACUUGAGUGCAGAAGAGGAAAGUGGAAUUCCAAGUGUAGCGGUGAAAUGCGUAGAGAUUUGGAGGAACACCAGUGGCGAAGGCGACUUUCUGGUCUGUAACUGACGCUGAGGCGCGAAAGCGUGGGGAGCAAACAGG
Molecule: ribosomal RNA, 429 nt
Filed under: bacterium
Lineage: Bacteria
Description: partial 16S ribosomal RNA
Rfam family: Bacterial small subunit ribosomal RNA
Source: RNAcentral